UUUAUGGAGAGUUUGAUCCUGGCUCAGGAUGAACGCUGGCGGCGUGCCUAAUACAUGCAAGUCGAGCGAACGGACGAGAAGCUUGCUUCUCUGAUGUUAGCGGCGGACGGGUGAGUAACACGUGGAUAACCUACCUAUAAGACUGGGAUAACUUCGGGAAACCGGAGCUAAUACCGGAUAAUAUUUUGAACCGCAUGGUUCAAAAGUGAAAGA
This 213-nucleotide ribosomal RNA is filed under the name Staphylococcus aureus. Its description in RNAcentral is "partial 16S ribosomal RNA". It matches the Rfam family "Bacterial small subunit ribosomal RNA", at positions 1 to 207 of the family's 1533-position model. The record is from RNAcentral. Lineage: Bacteria; Bacillati; Bacillota; Bacilli; Caryophanales; Staphylococcaceae.